This 1492-nucleotide long non-coding RNA is filed under the name Sus scrofa (pig). RNAcentral describes it as "lncRNA (ENSSSCG00030003344.1)". The record is from RNAcentral. Lineage: Eukaryota; Metazoa; Chordata; Mammalia; Artiodactyla; Suidae.
CAUAGAAUGAGUUUGGGAGUAUCUCUUCCUCUGCAAUUUUUUGGAAUAGUUUCAGAAGGAUAUGUGUUAGCUCUUCUCUAAAUGUUUGAUAGAAUUUGCCUGUGAAGCCAUUGUUGGAAGUUUUUUAAUCACAGUUUCAUUUUCGGUUCUUGUGAUUGGUCCAUUCAUCUUUUCUAUUUCAUCUUGGUUUAGUCUAGAAAGAUUGUACUAUUCUAAGAAUUUGUCCAUUUCUUCUAAGUUUUCUGUUUUAUUUGCAUAUAGUUGCAUAUAGCAUUCUCUUAUGAUCCUUUGUAUUCUGUGAUGUCCGUUGUUACUUCCCCUUUUUCAUUUCCUAUUUUAUUGAUUUGAGUCCUCUCUCUUUUUUGCUUGAUAAGUCUGGCUAGGGGGUUAUCAAUUUGUUGAUUUUUGCAAAGAACCAGCUUUUCAUUUCAUUGAUCUUUUCUAUGGUUUUCUUUGUUUCUAUUUCAUUGAUUUCUGCUCUGAUCUUUAUUAUUUCUUUCCUUCUACUAACUUUAGGUCUUUUCUGUUCUCUCUUGAGCUGCUUUAGAUAUAAAGUUAGCUUGUUUAUUUUGAGCUUUUUAUUUUUUCCUGAGGUGGGCUUGUAUUGCUAUAAACUUUCCUCUUAGAAUGGCUUUUGCUGCAUCCCAUAGGUUUUGGAGUGUCAUAUAUUCGUUGUCAUUUGCUUCUAGGUAUUUUUUAAUUUCCUCUUUGAUUUCUUCAGUGAUCCAUUGGUUGGAUCUAGAGGUGAUGUUUUUGGUAAACAGGCGGGGUUUGUGUUUGCCGAGUUCCUUUUACUUUUAUUUUAUUCUUUCAUCUUUCCCUUACGGUACUAUCUCUAUAGCGUCAAGAUAAAAAUUUCUAUCUCCUAUACUUUAAUGUCAGGUAAAUGUUUUAUUUUAUUUUAGUGUAGUUUUUGUGUUUAUUUAGUAUGUUGAGCUAGCUUUAGUUCAAAGCACCCAUAUAUUGUGGGAUCUUCUAGGUGUAAACUAGGUACUUUAGUUUAAGCUAUGCUUUGGUAAUCCAAGCACACUUUCCAGUAUGCUUACCUUGUUACGACUUGUCUCCUCUUGCAUGAUUAUGUAAUUAAAUAUAGGUUAUUUUGUAUUACUAUAUGCUUGAGGAGGGUGACGGGCGGUGUGUGCGUACUUCAUGGCCUUAUUCAAUCAAGCACUCUAUUCUUGAUUUACUGCUAAAUCCUCCUUUGGUUUUUAGUUUCAUAAAAACUUUCGUACGGUGAAUAUUCUUAUGCAGAAAAUGUAGCCCAUUUCUUUCCAACUCAUAAGCUACACCUUGACCUAACGUUUUUAUGUGUUAUGAUUGUGCUUACUAUUGUUCCUUUGUAGGGUUUGCUGAAGAUGGCGGUAUAUAGGCUGAAUUGGCAAGAGUUGGUAAGGUCUAUCGGGGUUUAUCGAUUAUAGAACAGGCUCCUCUAGGUAGAUGUGAAGCACCGCCAAGUCCUUUGAGUUUUAGGCUGUUGCGAGUAGUACUCUGG